This 643-nucleotide ribosomal RNA is filed under the name uncultured bacterium. RNAcentral describes it as "bacterial SSU rRNA". It matches the Rfam family "Bacterial small subunit ribosomal RNA", at positions 232 to 885 of the family's 1533-position model. The record is from RNAcentral.
CGCGGCCUAUCAGCUUGUUGGUGGGGUAAUGGCCUACCAAGGCGACGACGGGUAGCCGGCCUGAGAGGGCGACCGGCCACACUGGGACUGAGACACGGCCCAGACUCCUACGGGAGGCAGCAGUGAGGAAUAUUGCGCAAUGGGCGAAAGCCUGACGCAGCGACGCCGCGUGAGGGAUGAAGGCCUUCGGGUUGUAAACCUCUUUCAGCAGGGAAGAAGCGAAAGUGACGGUACCUGCAGAAGAAGCACCGGCUAACUACGUGCCAGCAGCCGCGGUAAUACGUAGGGUGCAAGCGUUGUCCGGAAUUAUUGGGCGUAAAGAGCUCGUAGGCGGUCUGUCGCGUCUGCUGUGAAAACUCGGGGCUUAACCCCGGGCCUGCAGUGGGUACGGGCAGACUAGAGUGUGGUAGGGGAGACUGGAAUUCCUGGUGUAGCGGUGAAAUGCGCAGAUAUCAGGAGGAACACCGGUGGCGAAGGCGGGUCUCUGGGCCAUAACUGACGCUGAGGAGCGAAAGCGUGGGGAGCGAACAGGAUUAGAUACCCUGGUAGUCCACGCCGUAAACGUUGGGCGCUAGGUGUGGGGCUCUUUCCAUGGGUUCCGUGCCGCAGCUAACGCAUUAAGCGCCCCGCCUGGGGAGUACGG